RNAcentral lists this ribosomal RNA (617 nucleotides) under uncultured bacterium. RNAcentral describes it as "bacterial SSU rRNA". It matches the Rfam family "Bacterial small subunit ribosomal RNA", at positions 57 to 688 of the family's 1533-position model. The record is from RNAcentral.
GCAGUCGAACGAGAAAGCCUCUUCGGAGGUUAUUAAAGUGGCGCACGGGUGCGUAACACGUAGCUAACGUACCCUCUCGCUGGGGAUAACUCCGGGAAACCGGAGCUAAUACCGAAUAAUCUGAUACUUACUGCGGUAGGUAUCGGUAAAGCCUUCGGGCGCGAGAGGAUCGGGCUGCGGUCCAUUAGCUUGUUGGUGGGGUAACGGCCUACCAUGGCGACGAUGGGUAGCUGGUCUGAGAGGAUGAUCAGUCACACUGGCACUGGAACACGGGCCAGACUCCUACGGGAGGCAGCAGUUAGGAAUUUUGCGCAAUGGGGGAAACCCUGACGCAGCAACGCCGCGUGGGUGAGGAAGGCUUUCGGGUUGUAAAGCCCUUUCAGCAGGGAAGAAAAAAAUGACGGUACCUGCAGAAGAAGCACCGGCUAACUCCGUGCCAGCAGCCGCGGUAAUACGGAGGGUGCAAGCGUUAUUCGGAAUUAUUGGGCGUAAAGCGCACGUAGGCGGUUUGGUAAGUCUGAUGUGAAAGCCCACGACUUAAUCGUGGAAGUGCAUUGGAUACUGCCAGACUUGAGUACAGGAGGGGAGAACGGAAUUCCUGGUGGAGAGGUGAAAUU